This 424-nucleotide ribosomal RNA is filed under the name uncultured bacterium. RNAcentral's name for it is "bacterial SSU rRNA". It matches the Rfam family "Bacterial small subunit ribosomal RNA", at positions 358 to 773 of the family's 1533-position model. The record is from RNAcentral.
AGAGGCUUUGUCAAUGGGGGCAACCCUGAACAAGCGACGCCGCGUGGCGGAUGAAGGCCCUUGGGUUGUAAACUCCUUUUGUUGGGGAAGAAAGGCGGUCAGGCGAAUAGCCUGGUCGUUUGACGGUACCCGACGAAUAAGCUCCGGCUAACUCCGUGCCAGCAGCCGCCGUAAUACGGGGGGAGCAAGCGUUGUUCGGAAUCCCUGGGCGUAAAGGGCGUGUAGGCGGCCAAAUAAGUGAUACGUGAAAUGCCUCGGCUCACCCGAGGCACUGCAUCUCAUACUGUUUGGCUUGAGUACGGGAGAGGAUGGGGGAAUUCCUGGUGUAGCGGUGAAAUGCGUAGAUAUCAGGAGGAACACCAGUGGCGAAGGCGCCCAUCUGGCCCGAUACUGACGCUGAGGCGCGAAAGCUAGGGGAGCGAAC